This 1880-nucleotide long non-coding RNA is filed under the name Homo sapiens (human). RNAcentral's name for it is "HSALNT0335632". Lineage: Eukaryota; Metazoa; Chordata; Mammalia; Primates; Hominidae. The record is from RNAcentral.
AAUCUGAAAAAGAAUUCAAGUAUAUAUAGUUUCAUAUAAGAAAUAACUCUUCACUUUUUUCUGCUAGCUACUACUCCUUGGAGAAUGAGGUUGACCUAGUUGCAUUUGACAAGGUUGACUGCUAUGUGACCAAAGAGGACCUAAUAAAUCAUGGCAUUUGAAGAACAUCCUGAGUUCACAGAGGGCAAUGGCACCUCAGCAGACAAAGCGAGCUGGAGGUCACCGACAGCAUCCCAGCAGCUGCAGAAAAUGCCAGGCGACCAGCCAGAUUGGAGCUGCAUUGCCCGAGUCUAUGAAGUGGCUGCAGAGGAUUGCAAUACUUGCGAAUCCCCAAAGAGCUUUCAAAUGUGCCCCCAAAAUAAGAUGUUUAAAUACCUGACAGGCCUAGAGAGCAUGAAGUCAACUUGCAAUGCUACUGAUCAAAUGAGAAUGUUCCUUCGUCCCUUUCCUCUCCUGCCUUCCCCAGUAUAACCAUGACAGGACAAUAAGAUGGGGGACAAGGUUUUGGAAGUAUAAGACAGGGAUAGGAGUAGAGAACAUGGGGCAAGGUGAUUUAAACCUGUGUUUGUGGCCUAAAGUGACCAGGGCAUUUUGUAAUCUAACCAUGAACCAAAAACUUACGAGACUUCCCAAGGUUACAUCUGGGGAGUGGAAGAACUUUUCUCUACUGAAUGAAUUUUAUAAAUACAGUGGGAGGCAGAAGUAAAGAUACUUGUGAAUUAUAUCUCAGGAGUUCUGCUUAUUCAGCACCCUGGUCACAGAGCCACCCCUUUGCUCUGGGCCCCCAGAACAAAGAGGCAGUAGGACACAGGAAGAACAGUGUCCUCAGUGAUCCAGGGACUCAAAGACAGGCCAAUGUGUGAUGUUUUAGCCCCUCCUCUGGCUGCAGUGGCAGGGCUGGGGUCAGAGGGAGGAUGUUAUUGUGGAGAGUGCUGUUUCUUUUGAUGUGCAAGGAGGGGUACUAUGGGCUGAAUGUGUGUCCUCCCAAGUUCAUAUGUUGAAAUCCUAAUACCAAGGUGGUUGUAUUAGGGAGGUGGGGCCUCUGAGAGGUGAUUAGGUUCUGAGGGUAAAGGCCUCAUGAACGGGAUUAGUGAUUUCAUAAAAGAGGCUCCAGAGAGCUGUUUUGCCCAUUCCGCCAUGUUAGGACCAGCGAGAAAGCACCAUCUGUGAACCAGAAAGUGGGCCUUCAUCAGACCCUGAAUCUGCCAGUGCCUUGAUUACGGACCUCCCAACCUCGAGAACUGUGCAUAGACUGGCGGCUGCCAGGGGAUAAGGAAGCAGUGGCAUUGGAAUUCAAGACUGUCUCUCUGACCUUCCUGAAUGACUCAGCAAUAUGAAGUUAAAAUCAGGUUCUUCUUUGGAAUUGGUGGCUGGCUGCUUGCUUAUGAGUGUAGACAUGUGACCCAAACACUCCUCCAUCACUGCUCUGUGGCCUCAGGUAGCUAACAGCUCAGACACAUCCACCUUUGUCAUUUGACACCUUAGUUUUGCUCUGCCCUGAGACUACCAAGCAUAGGUUUACGUGGGAAGGUGAGGUAAAGUAUUUUUGUUUCAAAAGAACUAUUUGCCUGAAAAAGCACUUAUCUUGAGAUUUCUUUAAAUGUUAAACUCUCCAAAUAUCUCUCUAAUUAAUUCUAUUUGUGAAAAUUCUAUUUAGAUAUUCAGUAGAUGUGGUAUGGUAUGAAUUAGCACGUGUCUAUAGCAAAUUACAAUACUAGAUGUAAAACAUAUUUGAAAUGAAUUGUUAUCAUUUUGAAACUGUUCAAAUUGAUGUAGUAUUUUAAAAUGAUAAGCUGUCCUGUGCUGCAUUGAAAAUCCCUUGAAAGGUGUGUGGGGAAUGUGCUAUUGGAGGCACAAAAAUGUCUGGUUUUAAAACAAUA